RNAcentral lists this non-coding RNA (28 nucleotides) under Mus musculus (house mouse). The record is from RNAcentral. Lineage: Eukaryota; Metazoa; Chordata; Mammalia; Rodentia; Muridae.
UAGCAGAAUGACCUUCAGGUGUGUGUGU